This 68-nucleotide transfer RNA is filed under the name Ictidomys tridecemlineatus (thirteen-lined ground squirrel). RNAcentral describes it as "Spermophilus tridecemlineatus (thirteen-lined ground squirrel) tRNA". It matches the Rfam family "tRNA". From Rfam's summary of the family: Transfer RNA (tRNA) molecules are approximately 80 nucleotides in length. Their secondary structure includes four short double-helical elements and three loops (D, anti-codon, and T loops). Further hydrogen bonds mediate the characteristic L-shaped molecular structure. tRNAs have two regions of fundamental functional importance: the anti-codon, which is responsible for specific mRNA codon recognition, and the 3' end, to which the tRNAs corresponding amino acid is attached (by aminoacyl-tRNA synthetases). tRNAs cope with the degeneracy of the genetic code in two manners: having more than one tRNA (with a specific anti-codon) for a particular amino acid; and 'wobble' base-pairing, i.e. permitting non-standard base-pairing at the 3rd anti-codon position. The record is from Rfam by way of RNAcentral. Lineage: Eukaryota; Metazoa; Chordata; Mammalia; Rodentia; Sciuridae.
GGUUCGUAGCUCAGAGGUAGAGCGAUCGCCUCACACGUGUGAGACCCUGAGUUCAAUCCUCAGCACCA